GGCUGGUCCAGUGGUAGCAGGUUAUCAGAACUUACCAACAUUAGUAUCAUUAAAGUUGGUAUACAACCCCCCUCACUGCUAAAUUUGACUGGCUUAA
This is an unclassified non-coding RNA of Homo sapiens (human), 97 nucleotides long. It matches the Rfam family "Y RNA". From Rfam's summary of the family: Y RNAs are components of the Ro ribonucleoprotein particle (Ro RNP), in association with Ro60 and La proteins. Lineage: Eukaryota; Metazoa; Chordata; Mammalia; Primates; Hominidae. The record is from Ensembl.